ACAUUUCUCUGCAACAUUAGAAGCAGGAUAAAUGUGUUGAUUUGAAGGACAGACGUACAGACUCUGGUAAGUCUUGGCUACAUAUAACUAUUAUAAAGUUAGGUCGUAGUCAGACAUUCAAUAGACAGAGUAGGCUUGAGAUAUGAUUCUUUAUCAUGCUGACCAACCUGGGCCCGUUUUCCACGAUGGAAUUUAGGCUUAACGCUGGAAACGCAUAAGAAGUGGUAAACGAUAAUUAACAAAAUACAAAGUUGAGUAAACGCUAUUUUACAAAUAAAAAGGUGCUUAAGCGCGUUUACGUGGGUUUACCCUCCACUACAUCCCCGUUGAUGUGGUGUGCAGCGUAGAGUGUAUAGUCAUUUAGUCUCUAUAGACCAGGUGGCCAGUUGGUGAGAAACUGUUCAGAUGGGGUGGUUUAGACCACUGCACCACCCAGGAGGUGACUGAAAGUAAAUAUGUGAUUUUGUACAGGAUCCAUUUUGAGAUGACAGAGCAGAAAACACUAUAUGGACAAUACUGACAAAUAAAGGGAAGCCUGGGCAACUGAAAUGUCUGAGCUUUUUCAACAGUGUAACUAUGAACAUCUGUACCAAAACCAAAUGAAGGGAGACAUAGAUAUGAUUAAAAAACAACUGUUGAUGCGACAUGAAAAAAAGAUGGGUGGAGGAGAUGAAUCAUAAAUCCAAAUUGAGAACCUUUUGUUUGAUUCAGGGUGAAUUGGUGUGUGAGAGAUAUAUUAUGUAUAACCUACCUAAAAGCAAGAGAUCUCUAUGUGCACAGGGAAGAUCAGGGAUAUUGUCUCUGUGUAUUGAAACAGGUCAGAUCAGGGAUAUUGCCUCUGCGUAUUGAAACAGGUCAGAUCAGGGAUAUUGUCUCUGCGUAUUGAAACAGUUCAGAUCAGGGAUAUUUCAUCUGCGUAUUGAAACAGUUCAGAUCAGGGAUAUUGUCUCUGCGUAUUGAAACAGUUCAGAUCAGGGAUAUUUCCUCUGAGUAUUGAAACAGGUCAGAUCAGGGAUAUUGUCUCUGAGUAUUGAAACAGGUCAGAUCAGGGAUAUUGUCUCUGCGUAUUGAAACAGGUUAUUUCAGGGAUAUUGUCUCUGUGUAUUGAAACAGGUACGAUCAUGGAUAUUGCCUCUGAGUAUUGAAACAGGUAAGAUCAGGGAUAUUUUCUCUGAGUAUUGAAACAGGUCAGUAUUGUGGUGAAAUGGAGGAAAGACUAUGUAACUAUUGUGACCUUAAAGAAAUAGAGAAUUAAACUGAUUUAAUCCUCUAUUUCCUUUUCUACCAUGACAUACGCUUGCUCUUAUUCCAGAAAGACCACCAGAUAUACCCUGGCAGUAUGUGAUGAGUGAUGAGGAGAAAUUGAAAUGUUUUUUUUGUCCAUUGUGUAUUUCCGUUUGUGGAAUAUUUAGAUAAAUCCUGGAAUAUAAGAAAAAUGUUUACCUAUAAUUAAAUUGUAAAAAUAUUUAGCUUCUGCGUGGUAAAUGGUACAUGUGUAUAUAGAUUGUGUAUAGACUUGUCUCCCAUAUGACUCUUCUAUGUGGUAAAUGGUAUGUGUGUAUAUAGAUUGUGUAUAGACUUGUCUCCCAUAUGAGUCUUCUAUGUGGUAAAUGGUAUGUGUAUAUAGAUUGUGUAUAGACUUGUCUCCCAUAUGAGUCUUCUAUGUGGUAAAUGGUACAUGUGUAUAUAGAUUGUGUAUAGACUUGUCUCCCAUAUGAAUCUUCUAUGUGGUAAAUGGUAUGUGUAUAUAUAGAUUGUGUAUAGGUUUGUCUCCCAUAUGAGUCUUCUAUGUGGUAAAUGGUAUGUGUAUAUAUAGAUUGUGUAUAGACUUGUCUCCCAUAUGAGUCUUCUAUGUGGUAAAUGGUAUGUGUGUAUAUAGAUUGUGUAUAGACUUGUCUCCCAUAUGAAUCUUCUCUUUGUGUCAGACUGGGUUCAAAUUCCUUCUGUUUAUUUUUCUGGGUUGAUGAUUCACCUCCUCUACCCAUUUUCUGUAUUUAUUUAUCUGUAUAUGUAUGUAUGUAUGUGUAUAUAUACAGUGUGUAUGUAUGUAUGUGUAUAUAUACAGUG
This is a non-coding RNA of Salmo salar (Atlantic salmon), 2067 nucleotides long. NCBI's taxonomy places the organism in Eukaryota, Metazoa, Chordata, Actinopteri, Salmoniformes, Salmonidae. The record is from RefSeq and is a predicted model, not a curated record.